RNAcentral lists this ribosomal RNA (717 nucleotides) under uncultured bacterium. RNAcentral describes it as "bacterial SSU rRNA". It matches the Rfam family "Bacterial small subunit ribosomal RNA", at positions 776 to 1496 of the family's 1533-position model. The record is from RNAcentral.
GAUUAGAUACCCUGGUAGUCCACGCCCUAAACGAUGUCGACUAGGUGUUCGGUGAGGAGACUCAUUGAGUACCGCAGCUAACGCGUGAAGUCGACCGCCUGGGGAGUACGGUCGCAAGAUUAAAACUCAAAGGAAUUGACGGGGACCCGCACAAGCGGUGGAUGAUGUGGAUUAAUUCGAUGCAACGCGAAAAACCUUACCUACCCUUGACAUGUACGGAACCCUGCUGAGAGGUGGGGGUGCUCGAAAGAGAGCCGUAACACAGGUGCUGCAUGGCUGUCGUCAGCUCGUGUCGUGAGAUGUUGGGUUAAGUCCCGCAGCGAGCGCAACCCUUGUCAUUAGUUGCUACGCAAGAGCACUCUAAUGAGACUGCCGGUGACAAACCGGAGGAAGGUGGGGAUGACGUCAAGUCCUCAUGGCCCUUAUGGGUAGGGCUUCACACGUCAUACAAUGGUCGGUACAGAGGGUUGCCAAGCCGCGAGGUGGAGCCAAUCCCAGAAAGCCGAUCGUAGUCCGGAUCGCAGUCUGCAACUCGACUGCGUGAAGUCGGAAUCGCUAGUAAUCGCGGAUCAGUAUGCCGCGGUGAAUACGUUCCCGGGUCUUGUACACACCGCCCGUCACACCAUGGGAGUGGGUUUCACCAGAAGAGGCUAGCCUAACCGUAAGGGGGGCGGUCGCCACGGUGAGAUUCAUGACUGGGGUGAAGUCGUAACAAGG